UCCCUCUUAGCUCAGUGGUAGAGCGCGUCACUAGUACCGAAACCGGUAUGACGAGGUCAGUCGUUCAAGUCGGCUAGAGGGAA
Infundibulicybe gibba is the source of this 83-nucleotide non-coding RNA. The record is from the annotation of a GenBank genome assembly. NCBI's taxonomy places the organism in Eukaryota, Fungi, Basidiomycota, Agaricomycetes, Agaricales, Omphalinaceae.